GGAGAAUGGCGUCGGUUGAGGGUAUCUGUCGUACUUCUGCUUUCUUCUCGGGCUCGCUCGGGCAAGCCUUUGUCGGGCAGAUCUUGGUCGGGCAAGACACACUUCGGGCAAGGCUCGUCGGGCAGUUCUUAUCGGCCAAGGCUGAACUUCUUACAAAAUCUAUCUUUGUGGCUCUGUCAGAGGUCUGAAAGCUUUUAGAGGGGUUGACGGGGGAGAAGAGGAUACAAAAUGAAUCGAUACCACCAUGAACAAGGUAGCAGAGCUAUUACAGGGGUUUGGAAAGGUUUAUCCCGAAUGGGAUGAAGGCUUGUGCUGACUACAGCUUCGUUGAAGGCAAAUCUGGCUUGAGCAGAGUUUUGGCUUUUGUUUGUUUGUUUGAGUGUCCUUAAUUCUGUCUUCUCUUCCUCCUUUUAUAGACGACUUCAGCUUGGGUUCCUGUUGCAAUAGCGGUGCCCGAAUGCGGUUUGGUGAUGACUCACUAGCUUUUUUACAUGAAUGCCACCAAUAAAGUACUUUAUUGGGCUGUGUAGUGACUGAAUAGCCUACCCCCUGUGGUCUUUGAGCAGGUAAGCAGGUGGCCUUUGUAACUUGUGCCCAGUCGAAAGCCUCUUUCCUGCCUCCUAAGUUUUCCUCUGGGCCUUGGGUUUGGGCCGACUUUCUCUCUGGCCCAAAGUUCAGAUUUUAUCCCAAACAGUGCCCCCUUCAAUUGAUGUUAAGGUUGGGAUCCCAAGCGCCAACAUUAAAUGAAUAACAGCAUGCGUGCCCUUUGAGCUUCUUGCGACCUUUAAACUGCCUUCUGGUUCUCUAUAAAUUCUGGCUUUGGAAACCCUUUUCAAAUCAUCACCUCUUCUUCAUUUUGGUCUUCACCCUUCAUCCACCUUGAAUCCUUCCGUCUCCCCACUGAGAAAUGGGUUCCUCAGGUUUUGAGUGGAGUUUCCUGAAACUCCCCUUUCGUGAGAAAAAAAGAAAGUUUUCACCUGAUGAUUGCUACCUCCAACACCUUUGGUCAAUCACCCCUCUACCUCCAACACCCUUGGUCAGGCGGUCUCCUCUUGAUGACUGAUCUUCCCACAACUUGUGGUGAUAAGUCGGGCUUCAUCAUCAUAUAUGGUGAAGAUCUUGUGGGAGAGUCCUCUACCAAGCUCAUGUUGGCCGCACAACCCGAUCACCUGAUUGGGUUUCAACCAAGAAGAUAGCGGGAAACCAGUUGAAGACACCAACACUUUCAGAGAGGAUCAAAUGUAAUACAUAAGAUUUGGUAUCUUGUAAUCUCAUCAAUUUGUCGACAUGAAAUAAGUAUUUUUAUCUAUUUCUGCAUCUCUGCCUUCUUUAAAUGUUUGGAUGAACAAAAUACCGUAUGUGAAUUUCUAAGGUCCGUCUCACUCUGCUCCCUCUUCGAUAUAGCAAUCCCUAACAUCCCAUAAUGUAGGACAAUAUUUCUUCAAGAAUUUUGCAUUAAUAGGGUGUUUCUGCUCAUUGCCUUCGAGGUCUGCUAGAUAAUAUCCUCCUUUGUUCAAAACCCGACUAAUAAUAAAAGGACCUUCCCAUGUCGGGCUCCAUUUCCCGAAGCCACGCAGCUGAGCGCCUAGCGGGAGGACCGCUUUCCACGCUAAAUCUCCUUCCUUGAAAGACUUUAACUUCACCCUUUUGUUAUAAGCUCGGGCAACAGCAAUCUUUCCUUCUUGAAUCUGGUUCAAGGCUUCAAUUCGGGCUGCAUCCAGAUCUUCAAUACCUUGACACAUGGCUUCGAUAUAUUCUGCACUAUGCAACCCAAAUUGGUUUUGAAUUCUUACGGAACUGACGUUGAUUUCCAUAGGAAGCACUGCAUCUUGCCCGAAAGUCAAGGCAUAAGGAGUCGUGCCUGUCCCCGCUCUUUUAGAAGUCCGGUAUGCCCACAACGUGUUCCCUAGCAUCUCAUGCCACCUUUCUGGACUAUCAAUCACCAUCCUUUUAAUAAUGUUGACCAAGAUCUUGUUGCUAGCCUCUGCUUGCCCAUUUGACUCAGGGUAGUAUGGACUGGAUUGGAUCAUCUUUAUUUUGUACUUGCUUGCAAACUCUUCAACCUCCUUUGAAAUAAAAGAUGGCCCACGAUCCGUUACUAUAGUUUCAGGCACCCCAUACCUGUGCAGGAUCUUGGUCUCAAUAAAAUUCUUGACCACAGCUGAAGUUAUGGAUUUUACUGCCGAUGCUUCUACCCAUUUGGUGAAGUAGUCCGUUGCCACAAUUAUGAAAGUAUGUCCCUUACUAGAGGCCGGAUAAAUCUGCCCGAUGAAGUCCAUUGCCCAUCCUCGGAACGGCCAAGGCUUGACCACUGGAUUGAGAGGUACUGAUGGUACGUGCUGGAGAGGUCCAUGUCUCUGACAUUCUUCACAUCCGCGGGCAUAGGACUUACAAUCUUUUUCCAUGUCGGGCCAGAAAUAACCAUACCUUCUGAGUAGCCAUCUCAUCUUUGUUCCCGCUUGAUGUGCCCCACAUAUUCCCUCAUGUACUUCGGCCAUUACUCUCAUGGAUUCCUCUAGGCCUAAGCAUUUUAAUAGCAACCCAUCUGGGGUUUUUCUCAACAGAUUUUUUGUCCACAAGACAUACUUGGUUGCUUGCUGCCUGUUCUUCUUACUUGUGGGUGAAGAAGGAUCUUUCAGAUACUGAGUAAUAGGUGUCCUCCAAUCUUCCACCUCGGUCUCUAGAACCAUUACAUCCAGACUGAACCUCCGAUCUAAGAUAGAGGGAAGGUUUCUUGUUUGGAUCUCAACAUCAACACCAUACUUCCUUUCUUGCAUUGGCACUCCUGAAGCUAGUUGCGCCAUUUCAUUGGCUGCCAAGUUAGAUCCCCUAGGAAUGUGAUUGACUGAUAUCUCAGACUCCCACAAACUCAGCAGUUGUGUUGCUGCCAUAUAGUACCCUGCCAUAGUGAUAUGUCUACAUUUGAACUCGCCAUUUAGUUGAUUUAUCACUAACUCUGAAUCACCAAAAGAUCUCUACUUCAGUUGCCCCCAAGUCCAUCAGGAUUUCCAGGCCGAUAAUCAAUGCCUCAUACUCCGCCCGAUUAUUGGUAUUUUCUUGAUAAUCAAGUAGGAAGGAAUAGUAAUGAUAAACCCCUUAAGGGUUUAUAAUCACAAUUCCAGCUCUUGCUGCCUUCUGAGUGUAGGAUCCAUCGAAAUAUAGCUUCCAAGGUGUCCAAAGACCUGCUACUCUCCUUAUCUCUUGCUGGAUCCAAUCUUCUUUGCCCGAAACAUCACUUCUUGGUGGGAUCCAUACAUUAGCAACUUCUAAACUUCCCGGGAUAUUGAUUUCCUCGCUUUGAGACUCUUGAUGUUCGGUCAGGAAGUCAGCAAUUGCCUGGCCUUUGACUGCCCUCUGGGGUAUGUACUGAAAACUGAAUUCUGAUAAUGCUAGAAUCCACUUCCCAAUCAUCCCUGCUAGCAUAGGUCUUGACAACAUAUACUUUAUCACAUCUGUUUUGGCGAUAAUGUGCACAUGACAAGGUAGCAUGUAAUGCCUUAGCUUGCUGGCAGUAAAAUAUAGAGCCAAACACAGUUUUUCCACCGGAGAAUAUCUUGUUUCUACCUCGGUCAGAAUUCUGCUGAGGUAAUACACAGCCUGCUCUUUUCCUCCUUCAUUAUUUUGGGCUAGUAGACUCCCAAUUGAUCUUUCCGAUGCAGAAAUAUAUAGUUUCAAUGGCUUUCCCCUUUGAGGUGGCACCAGCACUGGUGGGGAAGUUAAGUAAGCCUUGAUGCUAUCAAAUGCCUGCUGGUGGGUUGGCCCCCACUCAAAAUUCUCCCUAUCCUUCAAUCUCUCAGUAGCGGAGUUAGUGGCUGGAUUUUGCCCGCCAAAUUGGCAAUGAAUCUCCUUAAGAAGUUGAUUUUACCUAGCAAUCUCUGAAGCUGUACUUUGUUGGUAGGUGGAAGUGACUCUAAUAUUGCCCGAGACUUAUUUUUGUCCACCUCCACACCUCUCUGAUGCACCAAGAAUCCCAAAAAAUUGCCCGCUCUUACUCCAAAAGCGCAUUUCUUUGGAUUCAUCUUCAACUUGUGGAUCCGCAUCCUCAUCAAUGCUUGCUUGAGGUCCACGAGAUGCUGCUCUUCUGUCUUAGAUUUCACCACAAUGUCAUCGAUAUACACCUCCAUGCUUUGGCCAAUUAAAUCAUGAAAAAAUGGCAUUCAUUGCCCUUUGAUACGUGGCGCCUGCAUUUUUGAGCCCGAAUGGCAUGACCAGAUAUUCAUAUGCCCCCACAUGACCAGGACAUCUAAAAGCUGUCUUAUGAAUAUCCUCUGGCGCCAUCUUUAUUUGAUUGUAACCGGCAUUUCCAUCCAUAAACGAUAAAACUUUAUGCUUUGCUACAGCAUCUAUAGAUAAGUCAGCCAUGGGCAUGGGAUAUUCAUCCUUUGGUGUGGCGCUAUUAAUAUUCCUAUAAUCAACACAACACCGUACUGCUUUUGUUUAUAGCUUUUAAAACGGGUACAAUGUUGGCUAGCCACUCUACAUAUUUGGCUGGUCUAAUAAAGCCAGCUUUCACCAGCCUUUCAAUUUCUUCUUUGACUUUUUCUUCUAUCUCCUUUGACAUCCUUCGUGGUGCCUGCUUGACAGGUUUAUAUCCUUCCUUGAUGGGCAUUCUAUGUUCCACCAAGGCUGGGUCUAAUCCUGGCAUCUCGGUGUAAUGCCAAGCAAAACAAUCUUUGAAUUCUUGCAAAAGAGAGAUAAUCUUGGCCCGAUCCUCAAUCCUUAAUAAACCGCUGAUUUGAAUUGGUCUCGGAUCCUCUUCUGUGCCUAGAUCAAUAACUUCCAAUGGAUCCUGGACUUCUGGAGGUGGCUUAUUAGGUUCUGCACACAAAAAUUUAACUAACUCCGGGUUCUCGGGCAGACCGUCUGGCUCGUCUAUAUCGUAGACGCAUUCGGCCAUUUGAAUGGCCUUAUCUAACUCCUCUGUGCAAGAUUCUUCCUCAUUUUCCUGUUGGCUGGUAGAAACUUUCCCCUGCCACUCCUGCUCUUCUUUAUCCAAGAGCUUUUCUUCCUGUUUUCUUCCCUUUACAUACACCAACAGUCUUUUAAUCAGGGAUCUGACUGCCAUGACCUGAUCUUUCUUCUUUUGUUCGAUCAUUGAUGAUAUAGAGAGUUUGGUAUAAGACAGGGUCUCUCCCACUCCUCCUUGGUAAGGAGCAUCCCUUGUUCUAGAAGCUUUCGGGCCGUCACCUUGGUAGGGCGGCCGUUCUCAUCAGCUCCUAAACAUUUCAAAAUUCCCACGUUGGGAUUGUAGAAAUUUGCUUCUGCAACAUUAGCUGAGGGGAGGAACGGCCGUGAUUCGGCCUCUACCAAUUCCCAAAAGCUUGAUCCUUCAGUACUUGCCUCGUGGUAUACAGCCACUUGUUGAUGAAGAGUAGAAGGUAUGGCUAAACUUUGAUGAAUCCAAUCUCUUCCAAGUAGGGCCCCGUAAGUGGAAGUGCAGUCUACUACAAAGAACGCCAACAUUAUUUUCUUGGACCCCAGAUCUACCUCCAAAGGUAAUAUCCCAUGAGUCCUGGUGAUGGCACCUGAAAAGCUCGAGACUGUAAGGUUUGUGGGAAUAAGAUCUUCAGUGCUUCUCCCCAUCCUCUUCAUCUGCUUGGCUGGCAAUAUGUUAACAGCCGCUCCUCCAUCAAUCAAAAUUCUUUUGAAAGGUACACCUUCCAGAUGAGCUGAAACGUAUAUAGGCUUCAGGUGGUUGGCCAACGAAAUACUUGGGCGGCUGAACACCAUUUUAUCUGUGUAAAUCCGUAGGGGACCACCUUUAGGUACUUUUGAGGAUUCAACCUUGCCUGAGUCUUCCUCUGUAACUACCUCCACAUUGACGUGAGCCAUCAUCGGCUCAGUUGUUAAAUAAUCACCUUCCAUGGUAGCGGGCUGGUCAGGCCUGGCGCCAAACAUGGCGGAUAAUACAUACGUCAUGUUGAUGUGGAAGUUGCUGGGUUCGAGCAAGUCCUCCUUCUUGCUCCCAAUGUGAUCCAUGAACUCGUCUAACCAAGCCAUUGCAUCGGCUGGUAGUAAGGGCUCUGGUAUCCCUUCCUGUUGUGGUUGAUUCAGGUCUCCGUACAGUGCUUGCUUUGGAACUUCACCAAACGGAUCCAAAGGCAGAAAGGUUGGUCUCCUCUCAGAUGCAACAGUUUCCUCAUGGGUGGGCCUUGGCCUCCAACCAGGUGUUGGCAUCAUAGUCAGAUCUUCCUGAGCCCUUCUUAAGAUCCUAUACUUGCCAGGAUGUUGGCUUUGUGGCACAUGAUUCCCCAUACCUUCCGUCUUGCCGUUGGCCCUUUCUACUUCCUUCUUACUUCGCCAACGAAGCUGACUACUACUUCCAGAUGUUGCCCUCUCUGGCUUUUGAUUUUUUGAGGCUUCAGAGGUGAUGGGGGUCAUCAGGGAAUUCAUGUAGGCUUUGUGUUGCCUUUGAACCCUUCUGACCAUGGAUGCUCCCAUUGGUCUGGUGGGCUGCCCAUCUUUUCCAACUACAUACCAUUUCCGCCCACGAUAUGCAGGAGUUGCUUUCUUAACAGGAUUAGCUAUCCCAUCAGUUCUUCUGACUUCCUUCCCCUUUUGGCCAUUUUGAAACUGCUCUGUACUUCUUUGGAGUUUGGCUUCCAUGUCCUCUGCCUCGUCAGAAACUUCAUAGUUUCGAAAUACUUCUGACAACGCCUUGGGUUGGGAAUCACCUCCUAAACGUUGAAAAACGCUUCGGGAAGUAUUUUUUCUUGUUGCCUGCUUAAGCCUUUCGCGGGCUUCUCUUUUAAUUAACUCGUGAUCAAUAAGGACUCCAGCUAGGGGAAUCUCGAGUUCACAUUCACACUGGCAUUUACUACACAUAACCAGCCCUUUGAUUAUGGCAGCCUUUGGGUACUCGGAUGGUUUGCCUAUCCCUUCCGUAGGUCGUUUGGCUAGUUUCCCUUCUUCUUCUUCCCUUAUAAUUUUCCCUUUUCCUUUCUCUGCCCAGGUCAUGUUGAGCAUGUUUACCGGGGCUUCAGAAAAGGGCAACACAAGUUUGACUAUGACUACCUCAUCUGGUUGGGUAAUCCUGUGUCUUUCUCCUUUGGGAGGAGCCAAACCUGUCUCAUUUCUAGAGCCUAGAGAGGCUUCAUUCAGUCUCUGUAGCAUUUGAAACAAUGUAUUCUGUAAAUCUUCUGGCAUGUUUAUCUUUAUCUUCAGAUCAGAGGAUCCCACCGGGCGUGCCAAAACUAUGUUCGUCGCAGGAAUCUCCUGGCGGACGAGCACACAGCUCCCCUGGGAGAAUGGCGUCGGUUGAGGGUAUCUGUCGUACUUCUGCUUUCUUCUCGGGCUCGCUCGGGCAAGCCUUUGUCGGGCAAAUCUUGGUCGGGCAAGACACACUUCGGGCAAGGCUCGUCGGGCAGUUCUUAUCGGCCAAGGCUGAACUUCUUACAAAAUCUAUCUUUGUGGCUCUGUCAGAGGUCUGAAAGCUUUUAGAGGGGUUGACGGGGGAGAAGAGGAUACAAAAUGAAUCGCUACCACCAUGAACAAGGUAGCAGAGCUAUUACAGGGGUUUGGGAAGGUUUAUCCCGAAUGGGAUGAAGGCUUGUGCUGACUACAGCUUCGUUGAAGGCAAAUCUGGCUUGAGC
This 7592-nucleotide long non-coding RNA is filed under the name Malus domestica (apple). RNAcentral's name for it is "long non-coding RNA (MDOM_LNC003393)". Lineage: Eukaryota; Viridiplantae; Streptophyta; Magnoliopsida; Rosales; Rosaceae. The record is from RNAcentral.